This 443-nucleotide ribosomal RNA is filed under the name uncultured bacterium. Its description in RNAcentral is "partial 16S ribosomal RNA". It matches the Rfam family "Bacterial small subunit ribosomal RNA", at positions 338 to 795 of the family's 1533-position model. The record is from RNAcentral.
CCUACGGGUGGCGGCAGUGGGGAAUAUUGGGCAAUGGGCGCAAGCCUGACCCAGCAACGCCGCGUGAAGGAAGAAGGCUUUCGGGUUGUAAACUUCUUUUCUGAGGGACGAAGAAAGUGACGGUACCUCAGGAAUAAGCCACGGCCAACGACGUGCCAGCAGCCGCGGUAAUACGAAGGUGGCAAGCGUUAUCCGGAUUUAUUGGGUGUAAAGGGCGUGUAGGCGGGAGAGCAAGUCAGAUGUUAAAACUCAGGGCUCAACCCUGGGCCUGCAUUUGAAACUGUUUUUCUUGAGUGCUGGGGAGGCAAUCGGAAUUCCGUGUGUAGCGGUGAAAUGCGUAGAUAUACGGAGGAACACCAGUGGCGAAGGCGGAUUGCUGGACAGUAACUGACGCUGAGGCGCGAAAGCGUGGGGAGCAAACAGGAUUAGAUACCCCUGUAGUC